RNAcentral lists this ribosomal RNA (443 nucleotides) under uncultured bacterium. RNAcentral's name for it is "SSU rRNA". It matches the Rfam family "Bacterial small subunit ribosomal RNA", at positions 26 to 518 of the family's 1533-position model. The record is from RNAcentral.
AGAACGAACGCUGGCGGCACGCCUAACACAUGCAAGUCGAGCGCCCAGCAAUGGGAGCGGCGGACGGGUGAGUAACACGUGGGAAUAUGCCUUUCGGUACGGAACAACUCAGGGAAACUUGAGCUAAUGCCGUAUACGCCCUUACGGGGAAGAUUUAUCGCCGAAAGAUUAGCCCGCGUCUGAUCAGCUAGUUGGUGAGGUAAUGGCUCACCAAGGCUUCGAUCAGUAGCUGGUUUGAGAGAACGACCAGCCACACUGGGACUGAGACACGGCCCAGACUCCUACGGGAGGCAGCAGUGGGGAAUCUUGGACAAUGGGGGAAACCCUGAUCCAGCGAUGCCGCGUGAGUGAUGAAGGCCUUCGGGUUGUAAAACUCUUUCGACGGGGACGAUAAUGACGGUACCCGUAGAAGAAGCUCCGGCUAACUUCGUGCCAGCAGCCGC